RNAcentral lists this ribosomal RNA (405 nucleotides) under uncultured bacterium. RNAcentral's name for it is "bacterial SSU rRNA". It matches the Rfam family "Bacterial small subunit ribosomal RNA", at positions 9 to 407 of the family's 1533-position model. The record is from RNAcentral.
GAGUUUGAUCGUGGCUCAGGACGAACGCUGGCGGCGCGCUUAACACAUGCAAGUCGAGCGAGAACCGGGCCUCCGGGCCUGGGGAAAGCGGCGAACGGGUGAGUAACACGUAGGUAACCUGCCCUCGGCACCGGGAUAGCUCGGGGAAACCCGGAUUAAUACCGGACGGCCUCCGGAGCCUUCGGGCGCCGGAGAAAAGGUGGCUUAGGCUUCCGGCCGAGGAUGGGCCUGCGGCGGAUUAGCUUGUUGGCGGGGUAACGGCCCACCAAGGCGACGAUCCGUAGCUGGUCUGAGAGGACGAUCAGCCACACUGGGACUGAGACACGGCCCAGACUCCUACGGGAGGCAGCAGUGGGGAAUCUUGCACAAUGGGCGAAAGCCUGAUGCAGCGACGCCGCGUGCGGG